ACGACCUCAACUCAAGCAAGACUACCCGCUGAACUUAAGCAUAUCAGUAAGCCGGAGGAAAAGAAACUAACU
RNAcentral lists this ribosomal RNA (72 nucleotides) under Steinernema glaseri. RNAcentral describes it as "partial 28S ribosomal RNA". It matches the Rfam family "Eukaryotic large subunit ribosomal RNA", at positions 1 to 70 of the family's 3401-position model. Lineage: Eukaryota; Metazoa; Nematoda; Chromadorea; Rhabditida; Steinernematidae. The record is from RNAcentral.